AGGGCGUACGGAGGAUGCCUUGGCUCUUGCAGGCGAAGAAGGACGUGAUAAGCUGCGAAAAGCCGCGUGUAGGUGCAAAUGACCUGUGAUGCGCGGAUCUCCGAAUGGGACAACCCGCCGUCUUGAAGGGACGGCAUUCCGCUCAAUGCGGAAGGCGAACGCAGGGAACUGAAACAUCUUAGUACCUGCAGGAAGAGAAAAUAACAAUGAUUCCCCUAGUAGUGGCGAGCGAACGGGGAAGAGCCCAAACCAUGCAUGUCGCAAGGCAUGUGUGGGGUAGUAAGGCCGCCAGAAGCCAUGUACGAGGUGAGCAGAACGGACUGGAAAGUCCGGCCGCAGCGGGUGAAAGCCCCUUAUGCGAAGCCUGUGUGCAUGCAGGGCGAGACCUUGAGUAGCGCGGGACACGUGGAAUCCUGUGUGAAUCAUCCGGGACCAUCCGGAAAGGCUAAAUACUCGCAAGAGACCGAUAGUGAACCAGUACCGUGAGGGAAAGGUGAAAAGUACCUCGAGCAGAGGAGUGAAAUAGAACCUGAAACCGUACGCCUACAAGCGGUCGGAGCUGUUUUAUAACAGUGACGGCGUGCCUUUUGCAUAAUGAACCUACGAGUUGCCGUCGUUGGCAAGGUUAAGGCCCGAGAGUGCCGCAGCCGAAGCGAAAGCGAGUCUGAACAGGGCGUAAAGUCAGCGGAGGCAGACGCGAAACCAAGUGAUCUACCCUUGUCCAGGAUGAAGUCUGGGUAACACCAGAUGGAGGUCCGAACCAAUAAGCGUUGAAAAGCUUCUGGAUGAGGUAAGGGUAGGAGUGAAAGGCCAAUCAAACUUGGAGAUAGCUCGUACUCCCCGAAAAGCAUUUAGGUGCUGCCUUCAGUGAUGAUUGCCGGAGGUAGAGCGACUGAUAGGAUGCGAGGGCUUCACCGCCUAUCAAGUCCUGAUAAACUCCGAAUGCCGGUAAUUUAGCUGUGGAGAAAGGGCGAGGGUGCUAAGGUCCUCGCCCGAGAGGAGAAGAAUCCGGACCGCCGGCUAAGGCCCCGGAGUGCAUGUUAAGUUAGUCUAACGAAGUACGGCCCCCGUGACAGCUAGGAUGUUGGCUUGGAAGCAGCCAUUCAUUCAAAGAGUGCGUAACAGCUCACUAGUCGAGGGUCUGUGCGUGGAUAAUAAUCGGGUAUUAAACAUGCCGCCGAAGCCGCGGGAUUGCACUUUAGUUGUGUAAUCGGUAGGGGAGCAUUCCAUGUGCGUUGAAUGGAUUCCGUAAGGGGUGCUGGAGCGUAUGGAAAAGCAAAUGUAGGUAUAAGUAACGAUAAAGAGGGUGAGAUGCCCUCUCGCCGAAAGACUAAGGUUUCCUGGGCGACGUUAAUCGUCCCAGGGUCAGUCGGGUCCUAAGGAUAAGCCUAAUGGCGAGGCCGAACGGAUGAAACGGUUAAUAUUCCGUUACUAUCUGCGUCGAGCGACGCGGUGACGGGGCGGUGACACUUCCGCGCCCUUACGAAUCAGGGCGUUGAACGGCAAAGGUGUAGAUUGCGGUAGUGAAGUACGCCGCGAGAGCCGAAGCCGGAAAGUACGCGAGUCCUCCGGGAUGAGCGAUAGUGAAGGUAAUAGCCUCCGAGAAAACCCGCUAAGCAUUAUGAUGGUGCAGGUACCCGUACCGUAAACGGACACACGUAGUUGGGUAGAAAAUACUAAGGCGCUAGGGAGAUUCACGGUUAAGGAACUAGGCAAAAUAGCCCUGUAACUUCGGGAGAAAGGGUCCUGCUUUUAUAGCAGGCGCAGUGAAAAGGUCCAGGCAACUGUUUACCAAAAACACAGGGCUGUGCGAAGUGUAAUUACUCAGUAUACAGCCUGACACCUGCCCGGUGCCGGAAGGUUAAGAGGAGGGCUUAUCAGCAAUGAGAAGGUCUGAAUUGAAGCCCCGGUAAACGGCGGCCGUAACUAUAACGGUCCUAAGGUAGCGAAAUUCCUUGUCGGGUAAGUUCCGACCUGCACGAAUGGUGUAAUGAUCCGGACACUGUCUCAACCGUGAUCCCAGUGAAAUUGUAGUAUCGGUGAAGAUGCCGAUUACCCGCGAUGGGACGAAAAGACCCCGUGAACCUUUACUAUAGCUUAACGUUGUACCCGGGCUGUCGAUGUGUAGGAUAGGCCGGAGGCGUCGAAUCGGGCACGCCAGUGUCCGUGGAGCCGUUGUUGAAAUACGGCCCUUUGGCCGUCUGGGUACUAACUUGGUGAAUCCAAGGACCGCGUUUGGUGGGUAGUUUGACUGGGGUGGUCGCCUCCAAAAGCGUAACGGAGGCUCCUCAAGGUGCCCUCAGGCCGAUUGGUAACCGGCCGCAGAGUGUAAUGGCAAAAGGGCGCUUGACUGGGAGGCCGACAGGCCGCACAGGCAGGAAACUGGAGCAUAGUGAUCCGGCGGUUCCGUAUGGAAGGUCCGUCGCUCAAAGGAUAAAAGGUACUCCGGGGAUAACAGGCUGA
RNAcentral lists this ribosomal RNA (2463 nucleotides) under human gut metagenome. Its description in RNAcentral is "bacterial LSU rRNA". It matches the Rfam family "Bacterial large subunit ribosomal RNA", at positions 14 to 2485 of the family's 2925-position model. The record is from RNAcentral.